GCUUGUCUCAAAGAUUAAGCCAUGCAUGUCUCAGUACAAGCCAAAUUAAGGUGAAACCGCGAAAGGCUCAUUAAAUCAGUUAUGGUUCCUUAGAUCGUACCCACAAUUACUUGGAUAACUGUGGUAAUUCUAGAGCUAAUACAUGCAAACAGAGCUCCGACCGGAGACGGAAGGAGUGCUUUUAUUAGAUCAAAACCAAUCGGUGGCGGGCUCGUCAUCGUACAACUUGGUGACUCUGAAUAACUUUACGCUGAUCGCACGGUCAAUCGCACCGGCGACGCAUCUUUCAAAUGUCUGCCUUAUCAACUGUCGAUGGUAGGUUCUGCGCCUACCAUGGUUGUAACGGGUAACGGGGAAUCAGGGUUCGAUUCCGGAGAGGGAGCCUGAGAAACGGCUACCACAUCCAAGGAAGGCAGCAGGCGCGCAAAUUACCCACUCCCGGCACGGGGAGGUAGUGACGAAAAAUAACGAUACGGGACUCAUCCGAGGCCCCGUAAUCGGAAUGAGUACACUCUAAACCCUUUAACGAGGAUCAAUUGGAGGGCAAGUCUGGUGCCAGCAGCCGCGGUA
Molecule: ribosomal RNA, 570 nt
Filed under: Cryptorhynchinae gen. sp. ARC4820
Lineage: Eukaryota; Metazoa; Arthropoda; Insecta; Coleoptera; Curculionidae
Description: SSU rRNA
Rfam family: Eukaryotic small subunit ribosomal RNA
Source: RNAcentral